RNAcentral lists this ribosomal RNA (1996 nucleotides) under Shigella sonnei. Its description in RNAcentral is "partial 23S ribosomal RNA". It matches the Rfam family "Bacterial large subunit ribosomal RNA", at positions 942 to 2915 of the family's 2925-position model. Lineage: Bacteria; Pseudomonadati; Pseudomonadota; Gammaproteobacteria; Enterobacterales; Enterobacteriaceae. The record is from RNAcentral.
ACCCGAUGCAAACUGCGAAUACCGGAGAAUGUUAUCACGGGAGACACACGGCGGGUGCUAACGUCCGUCGUGAAGAGGGAAACAACCCAGACCGCCAGCUAAGGUCCCAAAGUCAUGGUUAAGUGGGAAACGAUGUGGGAAGGCCCAGACAGCCAGGAUGUUGGCUUAGAAGCAGCCAUCAUUUAAAGAAAGCGUAAUAGCUCACUGGUCGAGUCGGCCUGCGCGGAAGAUGUAACGGGGCUAAACCAUGCACCGAAGCUGCGGCAGCGAUGCUUAUGCGUUGUUGGGUAGGGGAGCGUUCUGUAAGCCUGCGAAGGUGUGCUGUGAGGCAUGCUGGAGGUAUCAGAAGUGCGAAUGCUGACAUAAGUAACGAUAAAGCGGGUGAAAAGCCCGCUCGCCGGAAGACCAAGGGUUCCUGUCCAACGUUAAUCGGGGCAGGGUGAGUCGACCCCUAAGGCGAGGCCGAAAGGCGUAGUCGAUGGGAAACAGGUUAAUAUUCCUGUACUUGGUGUUACUGCGAAGGGGGGACGGAGAAGGCUAUGUUGGCCGGGCGACGGUUGUCCCGGUUUAAGCGUGUAGGCUGGUUUUCCAGGCAAAUCCGGAAAAUCAAGGCUGAGGCGUGAUGACGAGGCACUACGGUGCUGAAGCAACAAAUGCCCUGCUUCCAGGAAAAGCCUCUAAGCAUCAGGUAACAUCAAAUCGUACCCCAAACCGACACAGGUGGUCAGGUAGAGAAUACCAAGGCGCUUGAGAGAACUCGGGUGAAGGAACUAGGCAAAAUGGUGCCGUAACUUCGGGAGAAGGCACGCUGAUAUGUAGGUGAAGUCCCUUGCGGAUGGAGCUGAAAUCAGUCGAAGAUACCAGCUGGCUGCAACUGUUUAUUAAAAACACAGCACUGUGCAAACACGAAAGUGGACGUAUACGGUGUGACGCCUGCCCGGUGCCGGAAGGUUAAUUGAUGGGGUCAGCGCAAGCGAAGCUCUUGAUCGAAGCCCCGGUAAACGGCGGCCGUAACUAUAACGGUCCUAAGGUAGCGAAAUUCCUUGUCGGGUAAGUUCCGACCUGCACGAAUGGCGUAAUGAUGGCCAGGCUGUCUCCACCCGAGACUCAGUGAAAUUGAACUCGCUGUGAAGAUGCAGUGUACCCGCGGCAAGACGGAAAGACCCCGUGAACCUUUACUAUAGCUUGACACUGAACAUUGAGCCUUGAUGUGUAGGAUAGGUGGGAGGCUUUGAAGUGUGGACGCCAGUCUGCAUGGAGCCGGCCUUGAAAUACCACCCUUUAAUGUUUGAUGUUCUAACGUGGACCCGUGAUCCGGGUUGCGGACAGUGUCUGGUGGGUAGUUUGACUGGGGCGGUCUCCUCCUAAAGAGUAACGGAGGAGCACGAAGGUUGGCUAAUCCUGGUCGGACAUCAGGAGGUUAGUGCAAUGGCAUAAGCCAGCUUGACUGCGAGCGUGACGGCGCGAGCAGGUGCGAAAGCAGGUCAUAGUGAUCCGGUGGUUCUGAAUGGAAGGGCCAUCGCUCAACGGAUAAAAGGUACUCCGGGGAUAACAGGCUGAUACCGCCCAAGAGUUCAUAUCGACGGCGGUGUUUGGCACCUCGAUGUCGGCUCAUCACAUCCUGGGGCUGAAGUAGGUCCCAAGGGUAUGGCUGUUCGCCAUUUAAAGUGGUACGCGAGCUGGGUUUAGAACGUCGUGAGACAGUUCGGUCCCUAUCUGCCGUGGGCGCUGGAGAACUGAGGGGGGCUGCUCCUAGUACGAGAGGACCGGAGUGGACGCAUCACUGGUGUUCGGGUUGUCAUGCCAAUGGCACUGCCCGGUAGCUAAAUGCGGAAGAGAUAAGUGCUGAAAGCAUCUAAGCACGAAACUUGCCCCGAGAUGAGUUCUCCCUGACCCUUUAAGGGUCCUGAAGGAACGUUGAAGACGACGACGUUGAUAGGCCGGGUGUGUAAGCGCAGCGAUGCGUUGAGCUAACCGGUACUAAUGAACCGUGAGG